UAGGGGGCAAGCGUUGUCCGGAAUUAUUGGGCGUAAAGAGCGCGUAGGCGGUCCGGUAAGUCGGCUGUGAAAGUCAAGGGCUCAACCCUUGAAAGCCGGCCGAUACUGUCGGACUAGAGUCCGGAAGAGGCGAGUGGAAUUCCCGGUGUAGCGGUGAAAUGCGCAGAUAUCGGGAGGAACACCUGUGGCGAAAGCGGCGCACUGGACCACAACUGACGCUGAGGCGCGAAAGCUAGGGGAGCAAACAGG
This 249-nucleotide ribosomal RNA is filed under the name uncultured bacterium. RNAcentral's name for it is "partial 16S ribosomal RNA". It matches the Rfam family "Bacterial small subunit ribosomal RNA", at positions 528 to 776 of the family's 1533-position model. The record is from RNAcentral.